GAAAAUGUGCCUGAAUAAAGGGUAACUUUGAUAGAGUUAAUUAUAGAGGCUUAAAUCCUCUCAUUUUCU
RNAcentral lists this transfer RNA (69 nucleotides) under Anolis sagrei (brown anole). RNAcentral describes it as "tRNA-Ile". It matches the Rfam family "tRNA". From Rfam's summary of the family: Transfer RNA (tRNA) molecules are approximately 80 nucleotides in length. Their secondary structure includes four short double-helical elements and three loops (D, anti-codon, and T loops). Lineage: Eukaryota; Metazoa; Chordata; Lepidosauria; Squamata; Anolidae. The record is from RNAcentral.